This 72-nucleotide transfer RNA is filed under the name Ovis aries (sheep). It matches the Rfam family "tRNA". Rfam says of the family: Transfer RNA (tRNA) molecules are approximately 80 nucleotides in length. Lineage: Eukaryota; Metazoa; Chordata; Mammalia; Artiodactyla; Bovidae. The record is from Rfam by way of RNAcentral.
UCCCUCAUAGCUCAGUCGGUAAAGAAUCUGCCUGCAAUGCAGGAGAUCUGGGUUCGAUUCCUGGGUUGGGAA